UUUUGGCUAUUCUGGGUCCUUGCAUUAAUUUUAGGAUCAGCUUGUCAAUUCCUACAAAAAGGCAACUGGGGUUUUGAUGGGGAUUGCACUGAAUCUGUAGAUUGGGGAGUAUUGCCAUUUGAAUAACAUUAAAAAUUUUGAUUCAUGAACACAGAUAUCAUUCCAUUUAUUUAGAUCUUUAAUUUCUUUCAAUGACAUGAGUAGUUUUUGUUGUACAAGUCUUGCAUUUCUUUGGUUAAAUUUAUUCCUAAGUUUUUUAUUCUUUUUCAUGCUUCUAUUAGUUUGCUUGGGCCGCCAUAACAGAAAAACCACGGACUAGUUGACUUAAACAACAUAAAUUAAUUUUUUCACAGCUCUGGAGACUGAAAUCCCAAGGUCAAGGUGCCAGCAGGGGUGCUUACUGAAUCUCCAGUACUAUGUUGACUAGAACGGGAGGAGUGGAUAUCUUUGUCUUGUUCCUGAUCUUAGGGGAAGGCAUCCACUCUUUCACCAUCAGCUGAGCAGGUACAGGUGAGAAGAGAAGUUCUGUUGCCUUGGAGCAGUACGGCUGCCUGGGAAACAAGAAGUAUUCCUGACGCUUCCAACUCUGGACGACGUGUGAAAGCAGGGAAGCAUGUGUGGAAGGAGGGCAGAGAACUGAACCUCAGGAACACCAAUACCAACGUAGGCACAGGGAAAGGAUGGUUUGGCGCAGCCUCGAAGGCCAGCUGCAGAGGCAGAAGAGCCAGCAGGUAUGGAUAGUCCUUGGGGACACCCAAGAAUGUGUUGAGGGGCAGAAGUCUGAGGCAGCAGUUGGCUGGUUUAUCAACUCAAAUGAAAGAAUUAUGCUACCCAGGUCAGGUCCCAAGGGCUGACAGGGACUUCAAAACUGGGAGCUGCCCCCAGUAGAGUAUGUGCCAGUGAGUACCAGAAUCUUCUGGGUGACUUGAAAGAACCUCUAGUUCUACGGAUUUUCCAAUGGGCAAAAUACAGUAGGGGAACCAUUUAUAAUUAACUCACAUCUGUUUUAAUUUGGAUGACGAAGCCUUAAAUAUGUUCAGCCACCGUGGGCUCCUUUGGCAUUGGAGAUGAAAGGAGGACCAGCUGAAGGCAAGGUCUUCACUCCUUUUCCAACUUUGGGCUUGCUUGCCAGGUGGUGAACACAACCUGGUCCAGGCCUGUGCCUUAGGCAUUCAUGCUUUGCAGAGGUUAAGGCCCACCUUGCUCUACCUCCCCUGCUGCUCAGCCUGGAGAGCUGGCUGGUCUGCAUAUCUUAGGGCUUGGUCAGUCUUCAGUCAGGCACCUAAACCUCAUCACCUGUUCAGCAAAGUGAGGCCACAUCAGUCUCCACAGGACUCAAGAGUUCUUAGAUGCCACCCCAACCAGCAAUUUCUUUCUCUUGGCCCCCUUUCCCACUGCUUUUAUAGGAUUUUAAAGCAGCAGUGCACCUGCAGGCUUGCAUCCAUUAAAAAAAUAUAUUUUAAGUUCAUAUAUGAACUUUAAAGUCUUUGAGUAGUGAUAAACUCGCAAAUUAUUUUAUCUCAGAUCAGAAUGUUACGGUGGAAGACCCAGGGCAGGGCCAGUCAUCUAGUUUUAAUACAUGGUGGGACAGAAGCCCUGUCUGGCUCUGACCAUUGAGAAUGUCCACCAGCAGCCAGAGACAGAAAUGUCACCUCAUUUCAUGGACGGUGGAAAGGGGAGCACUUCCUAGGCACUCACUGUCAACCCCCUCUUUGUGGCCAGUGCUCUGCUCUAGAUAAGGAAAUGCUCAGUUCCUCACCACCCACGGGCAACUCAGCUGGCGCUGCAGGGCUGGAUUCCAGCCCAAGUUUGUGGGCUCAGAAACCCCAGGUUCUUUCCACCAAACGAGUGGUUCUGAAACUGGCUCUUGUGGCAGUGCUUCAGAGGUUCCCUGCAAACAUUCGCUUCAAGUGUCAUCUUAAAAGUCGAGGGCUUCCCUUGUGGCGCAGUGGUUGAGAGUCUGCCUGCCGAUGCAGGGGACAUGGGUUUGUGCCCUGGUCCAGAAGGAUCCCGCAUGCCACGGAGUGGCUGGGCCUGCGCGUCCGGAGCCUGUGCUCCACUAUGGGAGAGGCCCGCGUACCGCAAAAAAAAAAAAAAAAAUGUCCAUAACACGUACACUCAGAUGUAAAACAUGCGUUGCUUAGGCUGCCUGAGACCUCAGGUAAGGCCUCCAUUAUUGCGCUUGUGUGGGCUUCUCAGGGGUCGCUGAUGCAGAAGGUGCAAGCCUGGUGCUGGGAUCGCCAUACCCAGCUGCAACUCAGUGCUAUGGCUCUCACCAUAGUACAAUUUUAGUGAUUAUAACCUUUGUGUGUUUCUUACCUGAUGUAUGGAGGAUAAGGGCUGAAAGCAGGUAUUGGAUAUUCCUCUUGAUCUUUUUUCAAGUAUCUACUUCAGUUUUGUCCAUAACUAGAGAUUGCAGACAACCUAUGACUAUUUCCACUUAUACAGAUAAAAAUCAGGAUUUUUUCCUCCAUACCAAACAAAAUCGGAUAUAAAUUGGACACUGAGAUAGCUCACGACUAACCCAUUUGCACUAGUCAAAAAUGCUCCCCCCACCACCCUUGCCACCCCACUAGCUUAAGACAUGACUUGAACUUAGUUCAUGCUAUUAACACUUUGUAUGUACAUGAAAGGUUUAAAAGAAAAACAAAAAUACUGCAUUACAAUAUCAAAGCCUUUUGAUUUUGGUUACCAGGGAGAGGAGGGCUCACAGUUUAAGCCUUCUGGUAGUGACUACUAAGCUCUUCUCCAAGAUUUCUGGUUUGGCUAACUCAAAGAGAACCAGGUUAGAGUAACUAUUUAUCUAAGGCUGCUUUCUGGAAACCCAAGAGCACUGAGGGGAAGGGGGCCGGAGAGAAUGUUUCUUAUUCAAAUCUUCUGUAUUCUCUGGUAACCGUGGAUGAAUCUUUGCUGCUCCCUGAAACUUGGUUUUCUCAACAAAAUAUCACAAACUCAAAAUGGAUUAAAGACCUAAAUGUAAGACCGGAUACUAUAAAACUCUUAGAGGGAAACAUAGGUAGAAUACACUGACACAAACUGCAUCAAUGUCUUUUUCAGUCCGUCUCCCAGAGUAAUGGAAAUAAAAACAAAAAUAAAUAAAUGGGACCUAAUUAAACUCAAAAGCUUUUCCCACAACAAAGGAAACCACAAACAAAACAAGACAACCCAAAGAAUGGGAGAAAAUAUUCGCAAACAGUGCGACUGACAAGGGAUUAGUCUCCAAAAUAUACAAACAGCUCAUGCAGCUCAAUGUCAAAAAAAAAAAGCAAACAACCCAAUCAAAAAAUAGGCAGAAAAAAAAAAAAAAGGCAGAAGACCUAAAGACCUAAAUAGACAUUUCUCCAAAGAAGACAUACAGAUGGCCAAAAGGCACAUGGAAAGAUGCUCAAUACUGCUAAUUAUUAGAGAAAUGCAAGUCAAAACUAUAAUGAGAUAUCACCUCACACUGGACAGAAUGGCCAUCAUCAAAAAAUCUACAAAUAAUAAAUGAUGGAGAGGAUGUGGAGAAAAGGUAACCCUCCUAUACUGUUGGUGGGAAUAUACAUUGGUACAGCCACUAUGGCGAACAGUAUGGAGGUUCCUUAAACUAAUAACAGCUACCACAUGAUCUGGCAAUCCCACUCCUGGGCUUAUAUCCAGAGAAAAACAUGGUUCGAAAGGACAGAAGCACCCCAGUGUUUGUAGCAGCACUGUUUACAAUAGCCAAGACAUGGAAGCAACCUGAAUGUCCAUCGACUGAUGAGUGGAUAAAGAUGUGGUACAAUGGAAUGUCAGUCAAUUAAAAAAAAUGAAAUGAUGCCAUUUGCAGCAACAUAGAUGGGCCUGGAGAUUAUCAUACUAGGUGAAGUAAGUCAGAGAAAGACAAAUAUAUGAUAUAUGUGGAAUCUAAAAAAAGAUACAAAUGAACUUAUUUACAAAACAGAAACAGUCUCACAGACUUAGACAAUGAACUUGGGGGGAGGAUAGAUUGGGAGUUUGGGAUUCAUAUGUACACACCGCUAUAUUUAAAACAGAUAACCAACAAGGACCUACUGUAAAAAAUAAAAUUUAAAAAAAUCAGGAGGUUGGAUUAAAUCAAUGAUUUCAGACUUUCGUUUUAAUCAUCGAAACCUUUCUUCAAAUCACAUCACCUUACUUGGAAGCCUAAUACUGAAUGGGACUGAAGGCUCGCUUCCCACAGAACAGCAUGAAAACCACAAAACUACACUAUCUAAGGUCCCUCCCCCCUACCUCUAAUAUCAGGAUUUCAAGUCCCAGGCCUCUGAAACACAGAUGCUGACUCCUGCUGCCCCCUCCUGGCCAGGCCUCUCCCUGUCUUUUGAACAGACUAAGGGGUGGAGCUGUUUUAUCCCAUGCACCUAAAACACUGGUCACAAGACUGACUAGAGAACCACAGUGGCAAGGGGCUGAACAACUGUUUGUGGGUGAAAACGACAUUUACUUAGUUUACAUGGUCACGGAGGCUAUAGCAGAAUCAAUGCUGUUACAAUAGUGGGCACUACUGUCAGCAGCAACAUGGUGUUUUUAACCAGAAUCCAAGCCUCAUGGGUUCAGUUUGCAUUAAAAAAAAAAAAAAAAAAAGUCAGGAAGCAGUGAAAGGUCAAUUUUGAAUGCCAAUGUAAAACAAAUUUCACUGAAAAUACAACUGAAAUGCAACUGCUAUGAGUACUAUAAGAGAAGCUUUGAUAUGAUAAAAAAGACAGUAAGUGGUAAAUAAAAUACAACAGCAGCAUUAAAAAACUUUGUAAUUCCUACUUCAGAGGGUACCCCUUCCCUUUCCUCCUCAUGCCUCCGACAACUGCCUAGUCUGGAAGAGCCCUGUUCAACCAGGGAAGCAGCUGGUAUCUGCACAAAUAUGCAGCAGAUGAACUCCACACAAGUCAGAGGACCAAAGUGUAAGUGUGGUUGUGUACUGGGGGCAGGGAGACUCCUGUUUAAGAGUCAGAGGCUUAGGAACGUAGCCACCUACUCCUGCUAGAUGUCUCUCACACAUUCUGGUCCUGCCCUCCAGACAUCUCAUCAGUCACCUCAACUUCGAACAAAUGUUCUUAGAAAAUGACUAGAAAUUAAACAGCUGGGACUCCUGCCAUUAUUUUCCAAACUCCAAAUGGAGAGUCAAGUCAUUUUGCUCCACAGUCCAGGCCCAUUUUCACUCACUGUUAGCCCUACCUUCAGCUAAUGCAGUCGGGUGGGUACAGCUGCAGCCCUGGAGACCGAUCACUUGAACAGGUACCAGCAAAAUGAAAAGUCCUGCAACAGCACCUUCAAAGCAGCCCUUCUUCUUAAGACAUCAGCAGAGGUCAUGGCUACAGUUAACGAUCUCCCAGCCUCAUGUGCAGCGGCCAAGUAUAUCAGCUGUCUCAAGGACAGUGGCCUGAAACCAUAUUCUAGGGUUUAUCCUCAAUUCCCAUUUUGAUAUUUUUUAAUAGCUGGAAAUUAACAAAUGCUCUGGGGCAGCAUUUUGUUCAUUCCCCUUUAAAUCCGCCACAGUACCUUUUUUUUUUUUUUUUUUUUGCGGUACACGGGCGUCUCACUGUUGUGGCCUCUCCUGUUGCGGAGCAAAGGCUCCGGACGCACAGGCUCAGCGGCAAUGGCUCACGGGCCCA
Physeter macrocephalus (sperm whale) is the source of this 5606-nucleotide long non-coding RNA. RefSeq lists it as uncharacterized. The record is from RefSeq and is a predicted model, not a curated record. The transcript has 4 exons. NCBI's taxonomy places the organism in Eukaryota, Metazoa, Chordata, Mammalia, Artiodactyla, Physeteridae.